UGGCUCAGGACGAACGCUGGCGGCGUGCCUAACACAUGCAAGUCGAGCGGGGACAUACGACGGACAGGAAGUUUUCGGAUGGAAUGGAAGAUGUAUGUUCUAGCGGCGGACGGGUGAGUAACGCGUGAGCAACCUGUCCCUUACAGGGGGAUAACACAGCGAAAGCUGUACUAAUACCGCAUAAGACCACAGAGAGACAUCUCACAGGGGUCAAAGGAGCAAUCCGGUAAGGGGUGGGCUCGCGUCCGAUUAGAUAGUUGGUGAGGUAACGGCUCACCAAGUCGACGAUCGGUAGCCGGACUGAGAGGUUGAACGGCCACAUUGGGACUGAGACACGGCCCAGACUCCUACGGGAGGCAGCAGUGGGGGAUAUUGCACAAUGGGCGAAAGCCUGAUGCAGCAACGCCGCGUGAGGGAAGACGGUUUUCGGAUUGUAAACCUCUGUCUUUGGUGAAGAAGAAAGUGACGGUAGCCAAGGAGGAAGCCACGGCUAACUACGUGCC
Molecule: ribosomal RNA, 503 nt
Filed under: uncultured organism
Description: SSU rRNA
Rfam family: Bacterial small subunit ribosomal RNA
Source: RNAcentral